Molecule: ribosomal RNA, 419 nt
Filed under: bacterium
Lineage: Bacteria
Description: partial 16S ribosomal RNA
Rfam family: Bacterial small subunit ribosomal RNA
Source: RNAcentral
UGGGGGAUAUUGCACAAUGGGCGAAAGCCUGAUGCAGCGACGCCGCGUGGGGGAUGAAGGCCUUCGGGUUGUAAACUUCUUUUGCUCUGAACAAGGCAUGCUAAUGGGUGUGUUGAGUGUAGGGGUUGAUUAGCGCCGGCUAACUACGUGCCAGCAGCCGCGGUAAUACGUAGGGCGCGAGCGUUGUCCGGAAUUAUUGGGCGUAAAGGGCUCGUAGGUGGCUGGUUGCGUCUGUCGUGAAAGCUCAUGGCUUAACUGUGGGUUUGCGGUGGGUACUGGCUGGCUUGACUGCAGUAGGGGAGGCUGGAAUUCCUGGUGUAGCGGUGGAAUGCGCAGAUAUCAGGAGGAAUACCGGUGGCGAAGGCGGGUCUCUGGGCUGUUACUGACACUGAGGAGCGAAAGCAUGGGGAGCGAACAGG